Molecule: long non-coding RNA, 1167 nt
Filed under: Pan troglodytes (chimpanzee)
Lineage: Eukaryota; Metazoa; Chordata; Mammalia; Primates; Hominidae
Description: long non-coding RNA NONPTRT010635
Source: RNAcentral
GUGCUGCUUCUAGAAAACCCCUUUAUUAGAAAGCAGCAUGAAACCAGCGUUGGGAUAUAAGAGGAUGUGCUUUGUUAAAAGAAAACCUCUUUCUAAUACUCCCAACCAAAGAGCCAGAGGUCUUGUCUAACUAAAUGCCACCUUUCUGUGAUUCUUGGAGCUUCAUCUUCAAAGACUGAGAGGAUCCUCCUUCAUCUGAAACCUCUCAGAAAGGGAAAGGUUGGUCGUGACUUGUCCCCUCAACAAGGAACUUCAGGAACUGCCAACUGUGUUCAGUAACCCUUCUCUGACAGGAUGCUCUCCAGAAAAAUUCCUGCUAGCUUGACUCAGAAGAAGAGCAGCCUGUGCAUGAGCCUGUCCCCCUUGAGAAUUUCCUCUUCCUUCAUUAGUGUCUUGCGAUGGCCACAUUUUCCAUUUCUGUGACUUCCUACCAGCUUUUCAAAUGCUUAACUACAAACUAAAGUUAUUCUGGCAUUGGCAAUGUGAUCUCUGGAUUCUCACAACUAGCUUUCCUCAAGAUGAAUAUUGGGACGAGUUUGGUAGCAGACUGUAUGAUAAGGAGCACUGGAGUGGGAGUCAGAAAGCAUUGUGAACCCUACAGGGCAAGUGACUUCAUCUCUCUCAAUCUCAUUGUCAUCAACCGUAAGUGAGAGUGAAUGAAGGAUGCUCCCAACUGUCAAACCCUGUAAGUCAAGAAAACCUGUGCUCCAGAGGAGAACAUGAACAUUGGCAAAAAGUGAACUAAAGCUUCUGCUGCACCAUGAACCCAAGAAUUGUAGACAUAUCCCAGUGGCCAGAUGGCUGACUACCCACCAAGUCUACCUUCCCAUUCUCUCAAGGUAAUGAGCUAGCUGUAGCCCAAUAUGUGACCUCUCAGUUGGUGGCUAUGUUUCAAGAGCCACUUGCAGGUGUGUGUCUGAGUUCCUUCCAGUGGAAUGUGAGCAGAAGGGACAGGAGACAUUUCUAGGCCCUGGGUCUGACACACAGCCUUCCCUGUGGUUGGUGCUGAACUACAGAGUAGCCGAAGACCAACUGGCUUUGAGCAUACAGGUGCAGGACUACUGUAUGAGAGAUGAAAAACCUUCUUUGUCCUUAAAAUGAACUUUUUCCCUAAAAUUACAUGUAGACCUUGGGGCUCAUGCAUAAGAAUUAAAGAGAAAGUGGGAA